GAUGAAGAACGUAGUGAAAUGCAAUACUUGGUGUGAAUUGCAGAAUCCCGUGAACCAUCGAGUCUUUGAACGCAAGUUGCGCCCGAAGCCAUUAGGCCGAGGGCACGCCUGCCUGGGCGUCACACGUCGUUGCCCCCCCAUCUACUCCUUCGGGAUUGCGGGGGGCGGAUGAUGGCCUCCCGUGCGCCUCGUCGCGCGGUUGGCAUAAAUGCCAAGUCCUCGGCGACGCACGCCACGACAAUCGGUGGUUGCGAAACCUCGGUUGCCCGUCGUGUGCGGUCGUCGCGCAUCGAGGGCUCGAAAAAAUUGCCGGGCUCCGGCUCGGCUUUCAACGCGACCCCAGGUCAGGCGGGGUUACCCGCUGAAUUUAAGCAUAUCAAUAAGCGGAGGA
RNAcentral lists this unclassified non-coding RNA (391 nucleotides) under soil metagenome. RNAcentral describes it as "partial contains 5.8S ribosomal RNA, internal transcribed spacer 2, and large subunit ribosomal RNA". The stretch from base 1 to 122 matches the Rfam family "5.8S ribosomal RNA", at positions 35 to 154 of the family's 154-position model. The record is from RNAcentral.